GACGUAGGGGGCAAGCGUUAUUCGGAAUCAUUGGGCGUAAAGCGCUCGUAGGCGGAUCGGACAGUCGGUGAAGAAAGACCCGGGCUCAACUCGGGGAACGGCACCGAUACUAUCGAUCUUGAGGCAAUCAGAGGGUGAUGGAAGUUCCUGGUGUAGCGGUGAAAUGCGCAGAGUAUCAGGAGGAACACCGGUGGCGAAGGCGGGUCUCUGGGCCGAAAUUGACGCUGAGGAGCGAAAGCGUGGGGAGCAAACAGG
RNAcentral lists this ribosomal RNA (255 nucleotides) under uncultured bacterium. RNAcentral's name for it is "partial 16S ribosomal RNA". It matches the Rfam family "Bacterial small subunit ribosomal RNA", at positions 524 to 776 of the family's 1533-position model. The record is from RNAcentral.